CGGGACACGUGGUAUCCUGUCUGAAUAUGGGGGGACCAUCCUCCAAGGCUAAAUACUCCUGACUGACCGAUAGUGAACCAGUACCGUGAGGGAAAGGCGAAAAGAACCCCGGCGAGGGGAGUGAAAAAGAACCUGAAACCGUGUACGUACAAGCAGUGGGAGCACGCUUAGGCGUGUGACUGCGUACCUUUUGUAUAAUGGGUCAGCGACUUAUAUUCUGUAGCAAGGUUAACCGAAUAGGGGAGCCGAAGGGAAACCGAGUCUUAACUGGGCGUUAAGUUGCAGGGUAUAGACCCGAAACCCGGUGAUCUAGCCAUGGGCAGGUUGAAGGUUGGGUAACACUAACUGGAGGACCGAACCGACUAAUGUUGAAAAAUUAGCGGAUGACUUGUGGCUGGGGGUGAAAGGCCAAUCAAACCGGGAGAUAGCUGGUUCUCCCCGAAAGCUAUUUAGGUAGCGCCUCGUGAAUUCAUCUCCGGGGGUAGAGCACUGUUUCGGCAAGGGGGUCAUCCCGACUUACCAACCCGAUGCAAACUGCGAAUACCGGAGAAUGUUAUCACGGGAGACACACGGCGGGUGCUAACGUCCGUCGUGAAGAGGGAAACAACCCAGACCGCCAGCUAAGGUCCCAAAGUCAUGGUUAAGUGGGAAACGAUGUGGGAAGGCCCAGACAGCCAGGAUGUUGGCUUAGAAGCAGCCAUCAUUUAAAGAAAGCGUAAUAGCUCACUGGUCGAGUCGGCCUGCGCGGAAGAUGUAACGGGGCUAAACCAUGCACCGAAGCUGCGGCAGCGACGCUU
This 797-nucleotide ribosomal RNA is filed under the name Escherichia coli. RNAcentral describes it as "partial 23S ribosomal RNA". It matches the Rfam family "Bacterial large subunit ribosomal RNA", at positions 418 to 1216 of the family's 2925-position model. Lineage: Bacteria; Pseudomonadati; Pseudomonadota; Gammaproteobacteria; Enterobacterales; Enterobacteriaceae. The record is from RNAcentral.